This 73-nucleotide transfer RNA is filed under the name Candidatus Fibrimonadaceae bacterium. Its description in RNAcentral is "tRNA-Thr". It matches the Rfam family "tRNA". From Rfam's summary of the family: Transfer RNA (tRNA) molecules are approximately 80 nucleotides in length. Their secondary structure includes four short double-helical elements and three loops (D, anti-codon, and T loops). Further hydrogen bonds mediate the characteristic L-shaped molecular structure. tRNAs have two regions of fundamental functional importance: the anti-codon, which is responsible for specific mRNA codon recognition, and the 3' end, to which the tRNAs corresponding amino acid is attached (by aminoacyl-tRNA synthetases). tRNAs cope with the degeneracy of the genetic code in two manners: having more than one tRNA (with a specific anti-codon) for a particular amino acid; and 'wobble' base-pairing, i.e. permitting non-standard base-pairing at the 3rd anti-codon position. The record is from RNAcentral. Lineage: Bacteria; Pseudomonadati; Fibrobacterota; Fibrobacteria; Candidatus Fibrimonadales; Candidatus Fibrimonadaceae.
GCCGAAGUAGCUCAGCUGGUAGAGCAGCUGAUUUGUAAUCAGCCGGUCGUAGGUUCGACUCCUAUCUUCGGCU